This 492-nucleotide ribosomal RNA is filed under the name uncultured bacterium. Its description in RNAcentral is "partial 16S ribosomal RNA". It matches the Rfam family "Bacterial small subunit ribosomal RNA", at positions 30 to 507 of the family's 1533-position model. The record is from RNAcentral.
AGUGAACGCUGGCGGUAGGCUUAACCCAUGCAAGUCGAACGGCAGCACAGUCAGAGCUUGCUCUCACGGGUGGCGAGCGGCGGACGAGUGCGGAAUACACCGGCAUCUACUUUUUCGUGGGCGAUAACGUAGGGAAACUUACGCUAAUACCGCAUACGACCUACGGGUGAAAGCAUGGGAUCUUUGGACCUUGCGCGAUUGAAUGAGCCGAUGUCGGAUUAGUUAGUUGGCGGGGUAAAGGCCCACCAAGGCGACGAUCCGUAGCUGGUCUGAGAGGAUGAUCAGCCGCACGGGAACGGAGACACGGUCCAGGCGCCUGCGGGAGGGAGCAGUGGGGAAUGGGGGACAAUGGGCGCGAGCCUUAUCCAGCCGGACCGCGUGUGUGAAAGAGACCUUCGGGGUGUAAAGCCGGUUUGUUGGGAAAGAAAAGCAGCAGGUUGAGACCCCGCUGUAGUGACGGUACUGAAUGAAGAAGCACCGGCUAACUACGUG